AUUUAAAUGGUUUAACGAGGAAAACAAGCUGCAGGGAUCAGGAGAGACGCUUACAAGGAAAACCGGCGAUGUGGUAAACACCAACUUCUUUUGCAAUGUUUCAAACUCCAUCAGCUCUGAGAUCAGUGACCUUGCUGUACAAAAGUGCCCAAAACCCUCUUUUCCUAAAGAAUUAUUUGGAAUUAGCAUCUGGGUUUUUAUAGGAGGCGGAGCAGGUCUUCUUAUUUUGGUGAUCGUCACUGCCACAGUUUGUUGUGUCCGGGCCAGACGAAAGAGACGCAUAUGAUAAACGAUGGCAGGUCAGAGACCUUUGUUUGCAGUGGACGAAUCAAGAACAGCAACAGCAUCACCUUCAGCAGAACCACUUGACAAAACCACUAUAAACAACAUGUUCAGCAGAGUCCUAGAGCCAUACUUCUAUGCAGCCUGUGGUCUGAAGACAGACAACAGGAAACAGGAUACGACAUAAACACCAUUCAAUAUGAGUGCUGAGGUGACGUGAUGUUCGCAGGACGCCCACAGAGUUUCAUUUUGAUGUUUGUCAGGUUCAUUGCGAAUGUACAAAGAAAAUUAUAGAUUACAGGAAUUUAACCCUAAAUAAGUGGGUCAUUUAACGAUCAUUCGGUGAUUAGAUCAGAAAUGGUAACCUUAUUAUGAUUGUCAGUGAUAUGUAAAACUAAUGUAUUUGAUUACAACAUCUCCUGAUGUGUAGUUUUGUAAGCAGACCUUCACAAAGAAAUAUUGUUUAUGCUAUAUGUGUUAAUGCUUUUGUUUAGGUCUUUCAUUUUGGAGGAAAUAAGCUUCAGUCUUUUUUGCUAGGCAGGUUCGUGCUGUAUAUUGUUAAUGAGAGCGACAAUUCAGGAUUUUAUUAGUAUCUGUUGUGCAUUUUUCUUUGUUCUGAUUUGGAGAUUUUCAUGUUUGAAUCACGCGCUGGACAAGAAAUUAACCUUGAAAUUAAAGCAAAAUGAUAAAAAUAUUUUUUCUCAAAGAAAAAACACGAUUCCCUCCCUGGGUUGAUGGCAUGGUGCGUCUAAAAGGAUCCUUAAAGAUAACAAGUCUGAGGAAAAAUGACUUGAUUAAACUUCAUCAUUGUGGUUUUCAGUGAAUACAGAGCUGUAGAAAAGAAUUAAGGAUUAAAAAUUAAGAACAGAAGUGUGUGUUUUGGUUAAACUAAGAGCAGAAUAGAUUUAAUGUGGUCAUGUGAAUAUGAAUAUUUCUCUUAGUAUUCCUCUUUAUGCCUCACCAAAAAUAAAAUUAAUGAGUCUAUUUACUUGGACACUUUCAGCUGAAUGUUUUAAAUAUAUUAUACUGAUAUGUAUAUGGCCAUGUUUUUUAUCAAUUUUUAUAAUGUUCUUAAUAUAUUUACAAAAAUAAAAUGUGCUGAUGCAUCACAA
Molecule: non-coding RNA, 1394 nt
Organism: Neolamprologus brichardi
Lineage: Eukaryota; Metazoa; Chordata; Actinopteri; Cichliformes; Cichlidae
Source: RefSeq, a predicted model, not a curated record